GAUGAACGCUGGCGGCGUGCCUAAUACAUGCAAGUCGAACGAGAUGCUUUUGUAGCAAUACGAGAGUAUUCUAGUGGCGAACGGGUGAGUAACGCGUUGGUGACCUACCCCAAAGUGUGGGAUAACAGUCCGAAAGGAUUGCUAAUACCGCAUGUGGUCUUCGGAUUUAGAAACUGAUGACUAAAGGAGCAAUUCGCUUUGGGAGGGACCUGCGUCCCAUCAGCUAGUUGGUGAGGUAAUGGCUCACCAAGGCGACGACGGGUAGGGGACCUGAGAGGGUGACCCCCCACAAUGGAACUGAAACACGGUCCAUACACCUACGGGUGGCAGCAGUAGGGAAUAUUGCUCAAUGGGCGAAAGCCUGAAGCAGCAACGCCGCGUGUGCGAUGAAGGCCUUCGGGUCGUAAAGCACUUUUCUGAGAGA
Molecule: ribosomal RNA, 424 nt
Filed under: uncultured bacterium
Lineage: Bacteria
Description: bacterial SSU rRNA
Rfam family: Bacterial small subunit ribosomal RNA
Source: RNAcentral